GAGCUCUUUGGUACAUUCACCUUUUUCCUCCUGGCUCCAGCAAGUUUUCUGUCCCCACUCUUGCCCGAUUGCCCUGCUUCUUAAUUUAUAGAGCAGCAAUCAGCACAGGAAUUUCACAAGCUCCAAUCGGGAUGUCUUCCAGGCUACCUGCAUUUCCACCCGCCCACUCUUCUGGUGACUACAGAUAGGUAGUCUGUGCACUUCCAGAGGCACAAGCCAAAAUGGCAAAGUUUACUCUGCAAAUUCUAAUGUUCUUCCGUGUUCAGAAAGUGUUUCAAGUUCGAAUACAGACUUGGGUCAUAAAUGAAAGCUGGAGGUCUGAAUUCUGGAAAAUUAAAGAUUCUUCAUAAUCUGGAAAAUUCAGGAAUAAUCAAGCAUUAAACCCCAGUAUACUAAGGAGGACAAACCCAAUCAAGAAUUUGCAAUGCUUUCAUGCUGGCAGUGCCAAGGACUGACUGCUGUGUGGCGAGAAUCUGAAGUCUCCUGCCUGGGGACCUGAAUAAUUGACCUGCUCCACUUACUGAUGAAGGCAAGAAAAUAUGGCGCUGGUCUUGAAGGAAGGCAUCCGUCCUUCAUUCCUGCUAAAAAUAAAAGAAUCACCCUAAUGGACACUCACUCAAAGGCUAUUUCAAAGCAGAUCUAAAUUAGCCACUCGCUGUAAUGUGUUCCCUAUAUUAGCUACCUAGUCUUACAAGGGUAACAGGUAAAGUCAUCCUGGUGUGCUAUGAGUCAGAGCUAGUGAAGUGUCCUGGUGUAGUGACACCAUGCCACAUUAGAAGACUCUGUGGUCACACAUACAGUGGUUCUGAUGGCCACUGGAAGGCUAAGUUGUGUCUGAACUGUAUUAGUGACAAGAUAGGGGAUGAGGUCCCCUGUCAUAUGGGCCAAGAUGGUUCAUUCACCCAGCUAAUAACUAUUACAGGGACAGUCUGUGCUGAGGGAGGCAGCAGAGAGCCAGAGACACUGGGACAUUUUCUUCACCUUGCCUUCAGAUGUGAAACACCCAGUUGUGGUGGGUGAUCCUGGUUGUCAACUUGUAUGAACCUGGAAUCAGUGAGCAGGCAAGGAUCUGAGUAUACUUGUGAGAAAUAUUAUGGAUUAGGCCAAUAAAGCAUGAAGACUCACUCUAAAUGAAAGGAUAUCUUUGUCAGUGGCUCAUACAAAAAGAUGUUCGUAGGAAAGGUUUUGGCUUUGGGCCUGCUUGGUCUUUUAAGCCCACAGGUGAAUUUAUCUAUGCUGCUUCAAAUCCAUUUACCCUGUUGCUGUCACCACCACUGCCACAGCCACUGUUGCUGCUACUGCUUCUGCUGCCAUAAGAGCCCAGCUGUUUUCUACCUUGCAGCAUGGAAUGAAGAGCCAGUCACUCCAGUAAUCCUCCAGACUUUCAUAGCAAGAUUGGAAACGUUGAAGCAUCCAGCCUUGUGAACUAAGCAGAAAUUGGUCCUCUGCCUCCCCAGUGUGGUGGCAGCCAUUGUUGGACUCUCCACAGCAUACUGUGUAAUCCAAUCUAGUAAACUGCCUUUUUAAUAUAUAUUUAUUCUGUUGGUUCUAUUCCUCUGGAGAACCCUGACUAAUACAGUAGCUAUCUCCAGUGCCUCAUGGCAUUCUGUGAUCUGGGAAUGCGGCUAGCCAUUCUAAAUAGGAGCCUAGAACAUACCCUAGGGAGAUAGCUGAGAAAAGGUGCCCACCAUGGUUGAUUGGCAGCAUCAUUUAACAGCCAUCAGUUAGCAUUACUUUAAGCACUUCAUAUUUGUGUGUUAAGCUUUCUGUUUGAUUCAGUAUAAUCCUUUGAAUGGGACUGACCUAUAUGAAUGUGCUCAUAGGAACCAGUAAGAGAACCCUGUCUGUGUAUCUUCAUUGAUGUUUCUGUAUUCUAAAGGCCUCCUGGAGUGGCCUUAGGAGUUAGAACAAUGCUUAGCAAGAAGAGAGAUUGUGAGGUUUGAAGCACUGCAUGAGAUUACACAUAGGGGAGUGGGUUCUUUUUAACAACAAAACUUCUAAACGUGGGAAGUAGGACAAACUCCAUACUCUGUGGUGUAUGAUCUGUUUUUUUGUAUGUUCCUGUGUGCAAAUGUAGGGGGUGGGUGUUGAGGCCAAGGAUCAGCCUCAGUGUCAGGCCUCGGGAGCCAUCCACCUUGUUUUUUAAGACAGGAAGGAUCUCUCACUGACCAGAGACUUCAUACAGUUUUGUUAGCUGGCCAGUGAUCCCCAGAGAUCUGCCUGUUUCCAACCCCCAUGCCUAGUGAUAGAUACUCAGCAUCAAACUCAGGUCAUGUCAUGCCUUCCCUUUGGAUAUUUUAUUAAUUAAAGUAGGUCCCCAGCCCCAUGCUGGUUAAUCCUGAUGUUCAACUUGACUGACUAGAUUUAAAGUCAUCUAGGAGACAGGCAUGUCUUUGAGGGCAUUUCCAAGAGACUUAAGGGAAGUAGGAAGACCCAUCCUGAGCAAGGGCAGCACUACCCAGUGAACCGGGUUCCUGAAUGAAAUAAAAAGGGAAAAGUGAAUUAAACACCAGCAUCUAUCUCUCUUGACUUCCUGAGUGAAGAUGUAAUGUAACUAGCCUCCUGAAGCCCUACACCUACACCUUCCCUGCCAUGAAGGACUGUACCUCAAUCCUAAAACUGAAAUAAAGCCUCCCUAAAAUCGA
Long non-coding RNA from Grammomys surdaster, 2645 nucleotides. RefSeq lists it as uncharacterized. The transcript has 3 exons. NCBI's taxonomy places the organism in Eukaryota, Metazoa, Chordata, Mammalia, Rodentia, Muridae. The record is from RefSeq and is a predicted model, not a curated record.